GACGAACGCUGGCGGCGUGCUUAACACAUGCAAGUCGAACGGAAAGGCCCUGCUUUUGUGGGGUGCUCGAGUGGCGAACGGGUGAGUAACACGUGAGUAACCUGCCCUUGACUUUGGGAUAACUUCAGGAAACUGGGGCUAAUACCGGAUAGGAGCUCCUGCUGCAUGGUGGGGGUUGGAAAGUUUCGGCGGUCGGGGAUGGACUCGCGGCUUAUCAGCUUGUUGGUGGGGUAGUGGCUUACCAAGGCUUUGACGGGUAGCCGGCCUGAGAGGGUGACCGGCCACAUUGGGACUGAGAUACGGCCCAGACUCCUACGGGAGGCAGCAGUGGGGAACAUUGCACAAUGGGCGGAAGCCUGAUGCAGCAACGCCGCGUGCGGGAUGACGGCCUUCGGGUUGUAAACCGCUUUCGCCUGUGACGAAGCGUGAGUGACGGUAAUGGGUAAAGAAGCACCGGCUAACUACGUG
This 468-nucleotide ribosomal RNA is filed under the name uncultured bacterium. Its description in RNAcentral is "partial 16S ribosomal RNA". It matches the Rfam family "Bacterial small subunit ribosomal RNA", at positions 28 to 507 of the family's 1533-position model. The record is from RNAcentral.